AGCAGUAGCCACGGUAAUACGGAGGAUCCAAGCGUUAUCCGGAAUCAUUGGGUUUAAAGGGUCCGUAGGCGGUCUUGUAAGUCAGUGGUGAAAGCCCAUCGCUCAACGGUGGAACGGCCAUUGAUACUGCAGGACUUGAAUUAUUGGGAAGUAACUAGAAUAUGUAGUGUAGCGGUGAAAUGCUUAGAGAUUACAUGGAAUACCAAUUGCGAAGGCAGGUUACUACCAAUUGAUUGACGCUGAUGGACGAAAGCGUGGGUAGCGAACAGGAUUAGAGACCCCCGUAGUCCCUGUCUCUUAUAC
This 303-nucleotide ribosomal RNA is filed under the name uncultured bacterium. RNAcentral describes it as "partial 16S ribosomal RNA". It matches the Rfam family "Bacterial small subunit ribosomal RNA", at positions 507 to 807 of the family's 1533-position model. The record is from RNAcentral.